RNAcentral lists this ribosomal RNA (402 nucleotides) under uncultured bacterium. Its description in RNAcentral is "partial 16S ribosomal RNA". It matches the Rfam family "Bacterial small subunit ribosomal RNA", at positions 355 to 774 of the family's 1533-position model. The record is from RNAcentral. RNAcentral also lists the same sequence under 1 other name.
UGGGGAAUAUUGGACAAUGGGCGCAAGCCUGAUCCAGCAAUUCCGCGUGGGUGAAGAAGGUCUUCGGAUUGUAAAGCCCUUUCGACGGGGACGAUGAUGACGGUACCCGUAGAAGAAGCCCCGGCUAACUUCGUGCCAGCAGCCGCGGUAAUACGAAGGGGGCUAGCGUUGCUCGGAAUUACUGGGCGUAAAGGGCGCGUAGGCGGCUUAGUUAGUCAGGCGUGAAAUUCCUGGGCUCAACCUGGGGACUGCGCUUGAUACGGCUAGGCUAGAGGAUGGAAGAGGGUCGCGGAAUUCCCAGUGUAGAGGUGAAAUUCGUAGAUAUUGGGAAGAACACCGGUGGCGAAGGCGGCGACCUGGUCCAUUACUGACGCUGAGGCGCGACAGCGUGGGGAGCAAACA